UACAGAGGGUGCGAGCGUUAAUCGGAAUUACUGGGCGUAAAGCGCGCGUAGGUGGUUCGGUAAGUCGGGUGUUAAACCCCCAGGCUCAACCUGGGGACGCCACUCGAUACUGCUGUGACUAGAGUCCGGUAGGGGAGCGUGGAAUUCCUGGUGUAGCGGUGAAAUGCGCAGAUAUCAGGAGGAACACCAGCGGCGAAGGCGGCGCUCUGGGCCGGUACUGACACUGAGGAGCGAAAGCGUGGGUAGCAAACAGG
Molecule: ribosomal RNA, 254 nt
Filed under: uncultured bacterium
Lineage: Bacteria
Description: partial 16S ribosomal RNA
Rfam family: Bacterial small subunit ribosomal RNA
Source: RNAcentral